AAAUCCCCAUUCUGAUUACCUACAAAAUUUGUUUUUGUUUGUUACUUUUUUCUACUUGAGUGAGCACAAAUUUUAAAGCGAAAACUUAUUAUAGUUGUAAAUAGUCAUCUGAUUAGUCAACAAGUGGUUUUUAUUGAUUUUUGUGUGGAAGUACACGCUCUCUAAUCUUCAAAUUUGUUUUAUUUUGUAGAAAUUACAUAUUUGAUUUUUACAGUUUUAAAUUAUUAGAAUGGAUCUCUCAACUAAAAAAACAUAUUUUUUAAUAACUGGUGCAUCAAAAGGAAUCGGAAAAUGUAUGGCGAUUGAAUGUUGUAAGAAAUUCGUAAAAAAUUCUUUAGCAGUGCUUGUGGCUAGAUCUGCUUCUGGUUUAGAAAAAACUAAAAAUGAAAUUGAACAAAAUAAUCCGCAAAUCAAAGUGAAAGUAAUUCCUAUGGAUUUAACUAAAGCAAAUUCGAAUGAUUAUGAUAAUUUAUUAAGUGACUCAGUUGGAAAUUGUUUUGGUUCAGAUAAUUUUGAAAGAGCAAUCAUUAUACAUAAUGUUGGUUCAUUAGGUGAUGUAACUUGUAAAGCAAAAGAUUUUAAUGAUAAUCAGAAAUGGUCAGAAUAUUUUCAUUUGAAUGUUUUCUCGGUAGCAGCUUUAAAUUCACAAUUUAUAAAGAAGUUUUCAAAAUGUGAAAAAAUAAUUAUUAAUAUAACUUCAAAAUGUGCAAUAGAACCAUUUAAUAGUUUAACAUUUUACUGUUCAGGUAAAGCUGCACGAGAAAUGUAUUUUCGAUGUUUGGCUAACGAAGAAGCAAUUGAUUCAAAAUCAAAUAUUCUUGUAUUAAAUUAUUCUCCUGGACCAGUUGAUACUGAUAUGUCAUUGGAAAUACAAAAUAAAUCAAGUGAUGAUAAUAUAAAGGAAGUGUUUGGAAAUAUGAGAGCAAAAAAAGAAAUUUUAACACCAAUUCAAACAACAAAAAAGUUUAUAGAUGUUUUGGAAGCUAAAAAAUUUAAAUCUGGAGAUCAUAUUGACUAUUUUGAUUGAGAUAAGUGAAUUAGAAUAUUUUCUUGUAACACCAGUUUUCAUCAAUAUAGUUAUUGUUUUGAUUUCUUCCUGGAAUUGCAUGGAUGAGGCUACCAAAGUUGGACUCAAUGUACAUAAUAUUUUUUUCGGUUUAGAUAGUUUAAAAAUUUCAAAGCAGUUGCAGAAUUUCUCGUUACAAUUAAAACAUGAAGAAAUUAUUAUUGAUGCAUAUGGAUUUUCUAUUGUUGAUUGUGCAUUUAUUCGAAAGAUGAUGGGAACCUUAGCCAGUUAUGGAGUAUUUUUUAUACAAUUUCAGUAUCAGUUGAGAAAAGUUUAAAUUAUUUAAAUGGCGUAAUAAUUUAAAAAUUGGAUUAAAAUGAUAAAUAUUAAAAAUUUAUUAUUGGAUUAAAAGUAAAUUAAUUUAAACCAACUUUGAUUUGUGUUCAUCAAUCCAUUCACUUAUGUUCGAGAUUGCACUCUUUCCAGCUUAAGACUUUGGAUUUUAAUAGAUUCAUUUGCUGACCAUCAUUCAACUU
This is an RNA transcript of Condylostylus longicornis, 1542 nucleotides long. It is a transcript of the gene named sepiapterin reductase, with no coding region annotated. Lineage: Eukaryota; Metazoa; Arthropoda; Insecta; Diptera; Dolichopodidae. The record is from RefSeq and is a predicted model, not a curated record. The transcript has 7 exons.